This 441-nucleotide ribosomal RNA is filed under the name uncultured bacterium. Its description in RNAcentral is "partial 16S ribosomal RNA". The record is from RNAcentral.
UAACAGAGUUUACGAUCCGAAGACCUUCAUCACUCACGCGGCGUUGCUCCGUCAGGCUUUCGCCCAUUGCGGAAGAUUCCCUACUGCUGCCUCCCGUAGGAGUCUGGACCGUGUCUCAGUUCCAGUGUGGCCGAUCACCCUCUCAGGUCGGCUAUGCAUCGUUGCCUUGGUAAGCCGUUACCUUACCAACUAGCUAAUGCAGCGCGGAUCCAUCUAUAAGUGACAGCAAGACCGUCUUUCACUUUUGAACCAUGCGGUUCAAAAUAUUAUCCGGUAUUAGCUCCGGUUUCCCGAAGUUAUCCCAGUCUUAUAGGUAGGUUAUCCACGUGUUACUCACCCGUCCGCCGCUAACAUCAGAGAAGCAAGCUUCUCGUCCGUUCGCUCGACUUGCAUGUAUUAGGCACGCCGCCAGCGUUCAUCCUGAGCCAGGAUCAAACUCUC